RNAcentral lists this long non-coding RNA (1413 nucleotides) under Scleropages formosus (Asian bonytongue). Its description in RNAcentral is "lncRNA (ENSSFOG00015029470.1)". The record is from RNAcentral. Lineage: Eukaryota; Metazoa; Chordata; Actinopteri; Osteoglossiformes; Osteoglossidae.
AUGUACAGUAUAUAUUUCCCUCGAGUACAUGAACAAGCAGGUUCAUCCUGGACGUUUAAGCAUCAGAGCGCGGUGGCACAAAUACAAGAGUGGACAAGGUACGGUGCAACGCAAAAUCACUCCAGUGCUGGCAUUUGCGCCCUCUUCUUGCAUCAUUUCUUCUUCUUCUCCGAUCUGUCAGACCAAGCCGACCAGAUGCGGAACCCCAAACGCUGUAAUAUUCACUCUGUCUGUACACGCCGCCAACUUCGCUUCGUUAAGAGCGAAGGUUUGAGAGCACGCGUGUACCGUAUUUCCCGUACGUGUUGCGCACGCUCAUAUUCCUUGCGGCGCCGCGAAGGCGCACGCGGCGAGCAUCUGCCGCUUCAUCUCCAUCUUCUCCUUCUGCUUGAGAUGCACGCGCCCGUGCCUCUUGCGCUCGUCGCUGCGCGCGAAGCGCCGGCCGCACACGUCGCACGAGAACGGCUUCUCGCCCGUGUGCGUCCGCGUGUGUGUGGUCAGGUGGUCGCUGCGGCUGAAGCUGCGCAGGCACACGCGGCAGCGAAACGGUUUGUGGCCCGUGUGGAUGCGGACGUGGCGGUUGAGCUCGUCCGAGCGCGAGAAGCGCCGCUCGCAGUUCUCCGCCGGACACGCGAACGGCUUCUCCUUGGCUUGGGCUUUGCUGGCGCGAGCCGGCGCCCUCGGGGCGCGCGCUGCGCCGCUCGCGGAGGCGUCUGUCAACAAGGACGAGUAAAGGAGCGGGUGUGCGCUGCUGCUCCCAGAGGACGGGCUGCAACGGAAGUCGCACUGAUCGAUCACGGUCUGCAGAUCGAUGGCGGGGAAAGCGGCCGGUGUCAGGACGCCGCCGCUCGGGUUCCUUGGAGACCCAGGGACCUGUGCUGGGAAGCUGCUGGGCACGAGGGAGCCGGAGAAACUUUGCGCGCAGCUGGGAGCGAAGCGCUGCUCCUGCUUGAUCGCACCGUCCAUCUUGCAGCCCAUGUCGGAGCUCAAGGACUGGAGAAAGUCCUUCACAUCCACAUCUUCUUGGUCCGGCAGGCUGUCAGCUGCCGCCUGCGACGGUCCCGACACAAAAUCCGGCGGCGAGUAGGUGCUGGGCUUGCAGAAAGAGUCCCAUCCAUACGAGUCUUCCUCGGGCUCAGUUUUCACCACAACAGGAAACGCCGCCUGGAUCUGAGGGCUCUGCUCCGGACGUUCAGAAGCGUCAAAGUUGGACUGGACCACAGGAGCGCCGUGCACGCGCAGCAGAGCGUCUGGAAAGCCGUGGCAGAUGUGCGCCGAAGAGUGUGGCGCCGCUGGAUUCGCGGCGGCCCCUCCCGAGCACGUGGAGACCAGACCCUGGCCUUGCGCACAGAGCGCCGUGGGCGUGGGGAGCGCGAGCUGGGGCGCACUCUGCUGGAGCUCGGGCACGGGUAA